RNAcentral lists this ribosomal RNA (229 nucleotides) under uncultured bacterium. RNAcentral describes it as "partial 16S ribosomal RNA". It matches the Rfam family "Bacterial small subunit ribosomal RNA", at positions 568 to 796 of the family's 1533-position model. The record is from RNAcentral.
UGCGUAGGCGGGUAAAUAAGUCAGAGGUGAAAGCUCACAGCUUAACUGUGGAAUUGCCUUUGAUACUGUUUAUCUUGAAUUGUGUUGAGGUUAGCGGAAUGUGACAUGUAGCGGUGAAAUGCAUAGAUAUGUCAUAGAACACCAAUUGCGAAGGCAGCUAGCUAGGCAUUGAUUGACGCUGAGGCACGAAAGCGUGGGGAGCGAACAGGAUUAGAUACCCUGGUAGUCC